GGCUGGUUAGCUCAGUUGGUCAGAGCGUGGUGCUAAUAACGCCAAGGUCACGGGUUCGACCCCCGUACGGGCCA
Non-coding RNA from Corythoichthys intestinalis (scribbled pipefish), 74 nucleotides. NCBI's taxonomy places the organism in Eukaryota, Metazoa, Chordata, Actinopteri, Syngnathiformes, Syngnathidae. The record is from the annotation of a RefSeq genome assembly.